ACGCACCACUGGUGUACGGGUUGUGAUGCCAAUUGCAUUGCCCGGUAGCUAAGUGCGGAAGAGAUAACCGCUGAAAGCAUCUAAGCGGGAAACUUGCCUCGAGAUGAGUCUUCCCUGGGACUUUGAGUCCCCUAAAGGGCCGUUGAAGACGACGACGUAGAUAGGCCGGGUGUGUAAGCGCAGCGAUGCGUUGAGCUAACCGGUACUAAUGACCCGAGAGGCUUAACCUUACAACACCGAAGGUGUUU
This 248-nucleotide ribosomal RNA is filed under the name Brenneria goodwinii. RNAcentral describes it as "partial 23S ribosomal RNA". It matches the Rfam family "Bacterial large subunit ribosomal RNA", at positions 2701 to 2925 of the family's 2925-position model. Lineage: Bacteria; Pseudomonadati; Pseudomonadota; Gammaproteobacteria; Enterobacterales; Pectobacteriaceae. The record is from RNAcentral.